This 787-nucleotide small RNA is filed under the name Arabidopsis thaliana (thale cress). RNAcentral describes it as "ATSL064590". Lineage: Eukaryota; Viridiplantae; Streptophyta; Magnoliopsida; Brassicales; Brassicaceae. The record is from RNAcentral.
UAUCUCCUUAUUACUUGAGCUAUGCUCUUCUAGAUGGUCAUCUUCCGCAUUCAUUUGACAUAUGAUCCCCUCCUCUUUCAUUCUUCUAAUCAGCUCAUCCGCUUCACGCCUAGGCCCAUUCUUACAUAAACCUAGUAUCAUUAUAGUGUAUGUUCUAGCAUCAGGCUUCACUCCUUCGACAGGGAGUCUACAAAAUAACUCCCAAGCUUUUUCCACUUUAUCCGCCUUGCACAACCCGUGAAUCAUGAUGUUAUAUGCAACAAUGCCAAUAUACUUUUCGCUUUCUCUCAUAUCAUCGAAUUUCACCAGUGCGCUUUCGAUCUCCCCAUUAACACAAAGACCAUGUAACAGAAUGCAGUGGGUUAUGAUAUCAGGAGUCACGCGACGAGAAACCAUCCAGCAGAAGAUGUCUAGGGCAACUCUAAGUUUACCCACCUGACAAUAACCGUGGAUAAGAGUGUUGUAAGUAAAUAUGUCGGCAUUGAAUCCUUCACAAGACAUCCUUUGGAAGAGUUUCAUCCCUUCAUCUACCAUCCUAAACUUACAGAAUCCACUAAUGAGAGUGUUAUAUGUCACCACAUUAGGGAAGCAACCCUUGCUUGCCAUCAAAUCAAAUGUUUUCUUGGCGUCAUAUAGACGACCGUGCAUGCACAGCCCAUUAAUGAUUGAAUUAUAAGUGACAUUAUUAGGAUCAACAGAGCUUUGGAUCAUCUCCUUGUACAAUUCUUGAGCCUCAUCAAGAUUGCCUUGUUUCACAAAUACAUCGAUCAACGCAGUGAAAGUGACA